Molecule: ribosomal RNA, 429 nt
Filed under: Chloroflexota bacterium
Lineage: Bacteria; Bacillati; Chloroflexota
Also listed under: 1 other name
Description: Chloroflexi bacterium partial 16S ribosomal RNA
Rfam family: Bacterial small subunit ribosomal RNA
Source: RNAcentral
UAGGGAAUCUUCGGCAAUGGACGAAAGUCUGACCGAGCAACGCCGCGUGAGUGAAGAAGGUUUUCGGAUCGUAAAACUCUGUUGUUAGAGAAGAACAAGGACGUUAGUAACUGAACGUCCCCUGACGGUAUCUAACCAGAAAGCCACGGCUAACUACGUGCCAGCAGCCGCGGUAAUACGUAGGUGGCAAGCGUUGUCCGGAUUUAUUGGGCGUAAAGCGAGCGCAGGCGGUUUCUUAAGUCUGAUGUGAAAGCCCCCGGCUCAACCGGGGAGGGUCAUUGGAAACUGGGAGACUUGAGUGCAGAAGAUGAGAGUGGAAUUCCAUGUGUAGCGGUGAAAUGCGUAGAUAUAUGGAGGAACACCAGUGGCGAAGGCGGCUCUCUGGUCUGUAACUGACGCUGAGGCUCGAAAGCGUGGGGAGCAAACAGG